Molecule: small nucleolar RNA, 224 nt
Organism: Hyaena hyaena (striped hyena)
Lineage: Eukaryota; Metazoa; Chordata; Mammalia; Carnivora; Hyaenidae
Source: RefSeq, a predicted model, not a curated record
CACGAUAAGAUGCUCAACAGCAAAAGCAGCUCAAACAAUUAGGGAAAUGCACAGCAGAACCACAACGAGAUAGCACUUCACACCCACAAUGACUACAAUUGGAGGCAGAGCCUCCAAUUCUGCUGCUGUCUCCAGUUCCUGGCAGCUGCGUGUAGGGGGGCCCAUAGGUGGGGACCGAAGUGGGACCAGGCAUGAGCUAUCUGAGUGCAACCUUGGAUCUGACA